CGUAGGUGGUUAAGUCAGUCAGAUGUGAAAGCCCCGGGCUCAACCUGGGAAUUGCACCUGAUACUGCUUGGCUAGAGUACGGUAGAGGGAAGUGGAAUUUCCGGUGUAGCGGUGAAAUGCGUAGAGAUCGGAAGGAACACCAGUGGCGAAGGCGACUUCCUGGACUGAUACUGACACUGAGGUGCGAAAGCGUGGGGAGCAAACA
RNAcentral lists this ribosomal RNA (205 nucleotides) under uncultured bacterium. RNAcentral's name for it is "partial 16S ribosomal RNA". It matches the Rfam family "Bacterial small subunit ribosomal RNA", at positions 570 to 774 of the family's 1533-position model. The record is from RNAcentral.